Long non-coding RNA from Pezoporus occidentalis (night parrot), 1192 nucleotides. RefSeq lists it as uncharacterized. NCBI's taxonomy places the organism in Eukaryota, Metazoa, Chordata, Aves, Psittaciformes, Psittacidae. The transcript has 3 exons. The record is from RefSeq and is a predicted model, not a curated record.
UACCUUGCAUUUGUGAGUUCCUAACCUUAAAAGCCUCUGAGUUUUCUUUAGUGGAGUCAAUAGUUGUUAUUAAAAUGUGAAAAGAAUAGCUGAUUCUUUCAGAAGACUGUGACAGCCAGGUAGAAUAAAAGUGGCUUAUCCUUAUCUGUCCUGAAAACUGCAUUUUUAACAGGGAACAAUGCACCACUUUUCAGCAGAACAAAAGAUUCCUUCAUUGCCCAAACUCUGGGAAAGAUGACAGCUGCAAAAUCGGAGCCUCAGAGGACAGGUGUUCAUAUAAAAAUUCUGUGCUAGGUGACUAUAAUGUUCACAGUAUCCUUGCCAAACAACUUGGAAAAGGAAGUUGAGGUAACUGUCAUGCUCACCUUCUCAGCUCCUGCCUGUUGGUGUGGGCACAUUUUUAUACAGCCUGUUUCACUUUAGCCUGUAAUUGUUGCAAGAGGAUUUGUUUUCAUGUGUAUAAAACAGGUGGAACAUGGAAAAGCUAUUGGUUUUGCAGCUGUCAUCAUGGAACUGGGCUUCCUCUGUCUGAGCAGUGUUGCAACACCUUAUGAAAAGUGGAUUAAGCUGGCAGUGGAGAAGGGAAUGAACAGAGAAGAAAUAUUUCAACAGCCCCAAAGGCAGGCAAAAGAAAAUCUGUACCGUCUAUGUGAAUUGCAGCCUGUUCUUCAAAUUCAGAAUGUCUAAACCCAAGUUAUUCCCAACUACUGCCACUGAGCUGUAAUUUCUGAUGGAACAAUGAUGAUAAUGUUUACUGCAAAACUAUGUAUUUCUUUUAUUUUCCUUCAGCACUACUUUGUGCUUCAUAAUUUCUUGUAUUUUACAACAAUCCCAUGUUGUCAGUUUCUUAGAAUAGGGAUUGUCAUUCUUUCUUUUUUUUUAAUUUAUUUUUUAUUUUUUUCCCUGGUGAGAGAUCUGGUACAUAUUUGAAUGCAGAAAAUAAUUGUAAUAAUCACAAAAUGACCUGUUGCAUGCUAUGCAAAGGACUCUAGGUACUGAAAAACAUGUAUCAAAUGAUGAAGUUUUAGAUUUGGACAGGAUUUUAACACACAGUCGUUUUGACUUAUUAUAUGUAUUUGUUUGCAUUUCCUUAUGAAACCUGUUUGUCUCUGCUACCUGUGGGAAAUAUCUCUGAAGUAAAAUAUGUAUAGUAACAUCAUCUGUCUGAGUGAUAGCAUGUACAGAAUUCAAA